CUCCGAAUUGAUAACUGGAUGGAUUGAUCGGUGUUUAGUCCCUUUCUGUCUUUUAAGUAUUCGGGAGAAUAAUUUGGAAAUGCUUCUUACACGACGGUGAUAUUUUUCAGUUGUUUCAGUCGUUUACUUUUCCUUUACAUUU
RNAcentral lists this small nucleolar RNA (142 nucleotides) under Spathaspora passalidarum NRRL Y-27907. The record is from RNAcentral. Lineage: Eukaryota; Fungi; Ascomycota; Pichiomycetes; Serinales; Debaryomycetaceae.